AUUGAACGCUGGCGGCAGGCCUAACACAUGCAAGUCGAACGAGUGGCGGACGGGUGGGUAAUGUCUGGGAAACUGCCUGAUGGAGGGGGCUGACUACUGGAAACGGUAGCUAAUGCCGCAUAACAUCAGAUGUGCUCAGAUGGGAUUAGCUUGUUGGUGGGGUAACGGCUCACCAAGGCGACGAUCCCUAGCGGGGCUGAGAGGAUGACCAGCCACACUGGAACUGAGACACGGUCCAGACUCCUACGGGAGGCAGCAGUAGGGAAUAUUGCACAAUGGGCGAAAGCCUGAUGCAGCCAUGCCGCGUGAAUGAAGAAGGCCUUCGGGUUGUAAAACACUGUCAGCGGGGAGGCGUUACCCGAAGAAGAAGCACCGGCUAACUCCGUGCCAGCAGCCGCGGUAAUAC
This 406-nucleotide ribosomal RNA is filed under the name uncultured bacterium. RNAcentral describes it as "partial 16S ribosomal RNA". It matches the Rfam family "Bacterial small subunit ribosomal RNA", at positions 30 to 526 of the family's 1533-position model. The record is from RNAcentral.